UACGAGGGGGGCGAGCGUUGUUCGGAAUUAUUGGGCGUAAAGGGUGCGUAGGCGGUUUGGUAAGUCUUGUGUGAAAUCUUCGGGCUCAACUCGAAGUCUGCACGAGAAACUGCCGGGCUUGAGUAUGGGAGAGGUGAGUGGAAUUCCCGGUGUAGCGGUGAAAUUCGUAGAUAUUCGCAAGAACACCAGUGGCGAAGGCGGCUCACUGGCCCGGUACUGACGCUGAGGUGCGAAAGCGUGGGGAGCAAACAGG
Molecule: ribosomal RNA, 253 nt
Filed under: uncultured bacterium
Lineage: Bacteria
Description: partial 16S ribosomal RNA
Rfam family: Bacterial small subunit ribosomal RNA
Source: RNAcentral